GUCCACGCUGUAAACGAUGGGUACUAGGUUUGGUGGGUCUUGACCCCCGCCGAACCGGCGCUAACGCAAUAAGUACCCCGCCUUGGAAGUACGGUCGCAAGACUAAAACUCAAAGGAAUUGACGGGGGCCCGCACAAGCGGUGGAUCAUGUGGUUUAAUUCGAAGCAACGCGAAGAACCUUACCUGGGUUUGACAUCCCCGGACAACUCUAGAGAUAGAGCUUUCGUAGCAAUACGACCGGGAGACAGGUGCUGCAUGGCUGUCGU
Molecule: ribosomal RNA, 266 nt
Filed under: uncultured bacterium
Lineage: Bacteria
Description: partial 16S ribosomal RNA
Rfam family: Bacterial small subunit ribosomal RNA
Source: RNAcentral